RNAcentral lists this ribosomal RNA (740 nucleotides) under uncultured bacterium. Its description in RNAcentral is "bacterial SSU rRNA". It matches the Rfam family "Bacterial small subunit ribosomal RNA", at positions 8 to 796 of the family's 1533-position model. The record is from RNAcentral.
AGAGUUUGAUCAUGGCUCAGAGCGAACGCUGGCGGCAGGCCUAAUACAUGCAAGUCGAGCGCACCUUCGGGUGAGCGGCGGACGGGUGAGUAACGCGUGGGAAUAUGCCCUUUGGUACGGAACAACUGAGGGAAACUUCAGCUAAUACCGUAUGUGCCCUUCGGGGGAAAGAUUUAUCGCCAUUGGAGUAGCCCGCGUUGGAUUAGGUAGUUGGUGGGGUAAAGGCCCACCAAGCCGACGAUCCAUAGCUGGUCUGAGAGGAUGAUCAGCCACACUGGGACUGAGAUACGGCCCAGACUCCUACGGGAGGCAGCAGUAGGGAAUCUUGCGCAAUGGGCGAAAGCCUGACGCAGCCAUGCCGCGUGAAUGAUGAAGGUCUUAGGAUUGUAAAAUUCUUUCACCGGGGAAGAUAAUGACGGUACCCGGAGAAGAAGCCCCGGCUAACUUCGUGCCAGCAGCCGCGGUAAUACGAAGGGGGCUAGCGUUGCUCGGAAUUACUGGGCGUAAAGGGCGCGUAGGCGGACAGUUUAGUCAGAGGUGAAAGCCCAGGGCUCAACCUUGGAAUUGCCUUUGAUACUGGCUGUCUUGAGUUCGGGAGAGGUGAGUGGAAUGCCGAGUGUAGAGGUGAAAUUCGUAGAUAUUCGGCGGAACACCAGUGGCGAAGGCGACUCACUGGCCCGAUACUGACGCUGAGGCGCGAAAGCGUGGGGAGCAAACAGGAUUAGAUACCCUAGUAGUCC